GGUUGUGGCUCAGUGGUGGAGUGCUCACCUAGCAUGCUUGAGGCACUGGGUUCAAUCCUCAGCGCCA
Molecule: transfer RNA, 67 nt
Filed under: Marmota monax (woodchuck)
Lineage: Eukaryota; Metazoa; Chordata; Mammalia; Rodentia; Sciuridae
Description: tRNA.Ala
Source: RNAcentral